GAUGAACGCUGGCGGCGUGCCUAAUACAUGCAAGUCGAGCGAACAGACGAGGAGCUUGCUCCUUCGACGUUAGCGGCGGACGGGUGAGUAACACGUAGGUAACCUAUCUAUAAGACUGGGAUAACUUCGGGAAACCGGAGCUAAUACCGGAUAAUAUUUCGAACCGCAUGGUUCGAUAGUGAAAGAUGGCUUUGCUAUCACUUAUAGAUGGACCUGCGCCGUAUUAGCUAGUUGGUAAGGUAACGGCUUACCAAGGCAACGAUACGUAGCCGACCUGAGAGGGUGAUCGGCCACACUGGAACUGAGACACGGUCCAGACUCCUACGGGAGGCAGCAGUAGGGAAUCUUCCGCAAUGGGCGAAAGCCUGAUGGAGCAACGCCGCGUGAGUGAUGAAGGUCUUCGGAUCGUAAAACUCUGUUAUUAGGGAAGAACAAAAGUGUAAGUAACUGUGCACGUCUUGACGGUACCUAAUCAGAAAGCCACGGCUAACUACGUG
This 497-nucleotide ribosomal RNA is filed under the name uncultured bacterium. RNAcentral describes it as "partial 16S ribosomal RNA". It matches the Rfam family "Bacterial small subunit ribosomal RNA", at positions 28 to 507 of the family's 1533-position model. The record is from RNAcentral.